CAGCCGUAAACUAUGCGCGUUAGGUGUACUGGUGACCACGAGUCACCGGGGUGCCGAAGGGAAACCGUGAAACGUGCCGCCUGGGAAGUACGGUCGCAAGGCUGAAACUUAAAGGAAUUGGCGGGGGAGGCACCACAACGGGUGGGAGCCUGCGGGUUUAAUUUGGACUCAACGCCGGAAAUCUCACCGGAUAGGACAGACAUAUGAUAGUCGGGCCGAAGACUCUACUUGAUGAUCUGAGAGGUGGUGCAUGGCGUCAGUGACU
RNAcentral lists this ribosomal RNA (265 nucleotides) under uncultured archaeon. Its description in RNAcentral is "partial 16S ribosomal RNA". It matches the Rfam family "Archaeal small subunit ribosomal RNA", at positions 748 to 1008 of the family's 1478-position model. The record is from RNAcentral.